This 399-nucleotide ribosomal RNA is filed under the name uncultured Methylobacterium sp. RNAcentral describes it as "bacterial SSU rRNA". It matches the Rfam family "Bacterial small subunit ribosomal RNA", at positions 358 to 774 of the family's 1533-position model. The record is from RNAcentral. Lineage: Bacteria; Pseudomonadati; Pseudomonadota; Alphaproteobacteria; Hyphomicrobiales; Methylobacteriaceae.
GGAAUAUUGGACAAUGGGCGCAAGCCUGAUCCAGCCAUGCCGCGUGAGUGAUGAAGGCCUUAGGGUUGUAAAGCUCUUUUGUCCGGGACGAUAAUGACGGUACCGGAAGAAUAAGCCCCGGCUAACUUCGUGCCAGCAGCCGCGGUAAUACGAAGGGGGCUAGCGUUGCUCGGAAUCACUGGGCGUAAAGGGCGCGUAGGCGGCCGAUUAAGUCGGGGGUGAAAGCCUGUGGCUCAACCACAGAAUUGCCUUCGAUACUGGUUGGCUUGAGACCGGAAGAGGACAGCGGAACUGCGAGUGUAGAGGUGAAAUUCGUAGAUAUUCGCAAGAACACCAGUGGCGAAGGCGGCUGUCUGGUCCGGUUCUGACGCUGAGGCGCGAAAGCGUGGGGAGCAAACA